Molecule: long non-coding RNA, 88 nt
Organism: Egretta garzetta (little egret)
Lineage: Eukaryota; Metazoa; Chordata; Aves; Pelecaniformes; Ardeidae
Exons: 4
Source: RefSeq, a predicted model, not a curated record
GGACUAAAUGAACCCAAUGGGCAUUUCAGAGGGGUGGUCCAUAGACUAAGGGAAUGGUAUCUGUUGUGCAGCUGUCAAGUGGAUGCUC